CAGCAGCCACGGGAAUACGAGGGGGGCAAGCGUUGUUCGGAAUUAUUGGGCGUAAAGGGUGCGUAGGCGGCUUGGCAAGUCUUAUGUGAAAUCUCUGGGCUCAACCCGGAGUCUGCAUGAGAAACUGCCGGGCUUGAGUAUGGGAGAGGUGAGUGGAAUUUCCGGUGUAGCGGUGAAAUGCAUAGAUAUCGGAAGGAACACCUGUGGCGAAAGCGGCUCACUGGACCAUAACUGACGCUGAUGCACGAAAGCUAGGGGAGCAAACAGGAUUAGAGACCCCCGUAGUCCCUGUCUCUUAUAC
Molecule: ribosomal RNA, 301 nt
Filed under: uncultured bacterium
Lineage: Bacteria
Description: partial 16S ribosomal RNA
Rfam family: Bacterial small subunit ribosomal RNA
Source: RNAcentral